Molecule: unclassified non-coding RNA, 1702 nt
Filed under: uncultured fungus
Lineage: Eukaryota; Fungi
Description: sequence contains 18S rRNA gene, ITS1, 5.8S rRNA gene, ITS2, 28S rRNA gene
Rfam family: Eukaryotic large subunit ribosomal RNA (bases 673-1702)
Source: RNAcentral
GGUUGGAUCAUUACUGAAAAGGUUAGGCCUUCGGGCUCCCAGUCCUCACUAUCCGAGUUUUUCUCGGUUAGGGACAAAGAAACAUUUUGUGAACUGUGUUGUCUCUGGUGGUUGGACAGAAGGUACAUAUGUGUCUUUGUUUAGACAUUGUUGCACUUUUGUCUGUCAGUCUGCUGUUGUUAACUGUCAGGCCGUGGACAAGCCACCAAAUGUUUGUGUCAACCUUGAUCAGAUAUUACUUGCCUAACACUAUUUUUGUACUAAAUGAUACAAACAACUUUUGGCAACGGAUCUCUUGGCUCUCGCAACGAUGAAGAACGCAGCGAAAUGCGAUAAGUAGUGUGAAUUGCAGAAUUCAGUGAAUCAUCGAAUCUUUGAACGCACAUUGCGCUUCCUGGUAUUCCGGGGAGCAUGCCCGUUUCAGAAUCAUAAAAUACUCUCACUCUUACACCGGCAUGGCCUGUGUGCAAGUGUGGAUGGUGGACAGCUUGUGUUGUACUGACACAAUUGUCUGAAAAUGAUGGUGUGUGCUCCACUUCCUAGUAAGUUGGCCAGCAAGGUGCAACAGAUGUAAAUCUUGAACACAUUGUGGCAGACAAACUAGAUCUGGUGGUACACAUUCUCUGGUCAGCCAGUUUUCUCGUGCUGAAAUGCCAUGAAAGCUGUAAAACCUGGUCUGAAAUCGGGCAAGAAAACCCGCUGAACUUAAGCAUAUCAAUAAGCGGAGGAAAAGAAACUAACAAGGAUUCCCCUAGUAAUGGCGAGUGAAGCGGGAACAGCUCAAAUUUAAAAUCUCACGGGGUUACCUGUGCGAAUUGUAGUUUAGAGAAGCGUUUUCGGGGGUGACGUGGGUAUAAGUCCUCUGGAAUGGGGCAUCAUAGAAGGUGAGAAUCCUGUUUAUGAUCCACUGUUCACUCCUAUGUGAUACGCUUUCCAAGAGUCAGGUAGUUUGGGAUUGCUGCCUAAAAUGGGUGGUAAAUACCAUCUAAAGCUAAAUAUUGGCGAGAGACCGAUAGCGAACAAGUACCGUGAGGGAAAGAUGAAAAGAACUUUGAAAAGAGAGUUAAACAGUACGUGAAAUUGCCAAAAGGGAAACGCUUGGAACCAGUAUUGUUUGCACGUAAUCAGCCGCACAGCCCCAAAAGGGUUAUUGUGGUGCACUUGCGUGCAGACAGGUCAACAUCAGUUUGGCCUUGGGUAAAAAGCCAAAGGAAGGUAGCUUGCUACUCCGGUGGUGAGUGUUAUAGCCUCUGGUCAUGCCUGGGACUGGACUGAGGUCUGCAGUGUUAUUUGGGUACCUGAUCGCCUCCUGAGCUUUACUUCCAGACAGCAUGCUGGCUGGGAGUAAAGUUAGGGAGCCCGGUCAGUUUACCACACCAACGCUUAGGAUGUUGACGAAAUGGUUCUAAACGACCCGUCUUGAAACACGGACCAAGGAGUCUAACAUAUAUGCGAGUAUUUGGGUGGCAAACCCUUAUGCGAAAUGAAAGUGAACUUAGGUGGGAUCCGGUCUGGAUUUUUUUGAUAGAUCUGAGUAAGAGCAUAUCUGUUGGGACCCGAAAGAUGGUGAACUAUGCCUGAAUAGGGUGAAGCCAGAGGAAACUCUGGUGGAGGCUCGUAGCGAUUCUGACGUGCAAAUCGAUCGUCAAAUUUGGGUAUAGGGGCGAAAGACUAAUCGAACCAUCUAGUAGCUGGUUCCCUC